Molecule: non-coding RNA, 77 nt
Organism: Schistosoma haematobium
Lineage: Eukaryota; Metazoa; Platyhelminthes; Trematoda; Strigeidida; Schistosomatidae
Source: Rfam
AGCUUUUUGAAUCCGUGCAGAGAUUUCGUCAAACACCAACCCAAUAGGGCUGAUGAGACUCCCGAGGAGGUGAAGUU